RNAcentral lists this ribosomal RNA (253 nucleotides) under uncultured bacterium. RNAcentral describes it as "partial 16S ribosomal RNA". It matches the Rfam family "Bacterial small subunit ribosomal RNA", at positions 524 to 776 of the family's 1533-position model. The record is from RNAcentral.
UACAGAGGGGGCAAGCGUUGUUCGGAAUUACUGGGCGUAAAGGGCGCGUAGGCGGCCUUCUAAGUCGAACGUGAAAUCCCCGGGCUCAACCCGGGAACUGCGUCCGAUACUGGAAGGCUUGAAUCCGGGAGAGGGAUGUGGAAUUCCAGGUGUAGCGGUGAAAUGCGUAGAUAUCAGGAGGAACACCGGUGGUGUAGACGGCUUUCUGGACCGUAACUGACGCUGAGACACGAAAGCGUGGGUAGCAAACAGG